CCUACGGGAGGCUGCAGUGGGGGAUAUUGCACAAUGGGGGCAACCCUGAUGCAGCGACGCCGCGUGAGCGAUGGAGUACUUCGGUAUGUAAAGCUCUGUCAGCAGGGAAGAGAAUGACGGUACCUGACCAAGAAGCCCCGGCUAAAUACGUGCCAGCAGCCGCGGUAAUACGUAUGGGGCAAGUGUUAUCCGGAUUUACUGGGUGUAAAGGGAGCGUAGGCGGCAGGGCAAGCCUGAUGUGAAAGCCCGGGGCUCAACCCCGGGACUGCAUUGGGAACUGCUCCGCUCGAGUGCCGGAGGGGCAGGCGGAAUUCCUAGGGUAGCGGUGGAAUGCGUAGAUAUUAGGAGGAACACCAGUGGCGAAGGCGGCCUGCUGGACGGUGUACUGACGCUGAGGCUCGAAAGCGUGGGGAGCAAACAGGAUUAGAUACCCCGGUAGUC
RNAcentral lists this ribosomal RNA (441 nucleotides) under uncultured bacterium. Its description in RNAcentral is "partial 16S ribosomal RNA". It matches the Rfam family "Bacterial small subunit ribosomal RNA", at positions 338 to 795 of the family's 1533-position model. The record is from RNAcentral.